RNAcentral lists this microRNA (22 nucleotides) under Heligmosomoides polygyrus. Its description in RNAcentral is "hpo-miR-10063a-3p". The record is from miRBase by way of RNAcentral. Lineage: Eukaryota; Metazoa; Nematoda; Chromadorea; Rhabditida; Heligmosomidae.
UGAGUGAGAUACGCCUCGUGGA